Long non-coding RNA from Neofelis nebulosa (Clouded leopard), 439 nucleotides. RefSeq lists it as uncharacterized. The transcript has 2 exons. Lineage: Eukaryota; Metazoa; Chordata; Mammalia; Carnivora; Felidae. The record is from RefSeq and is a predicted model, not a curated record.
AGGGAAAAUUAGCCGGCUUGGUCUAUCCAGUGGUGGAAAUGAGAGAAAUUGGAGACAACGUGGGUUUGCUUUUCUGGGAACAAACACGUCCAGAGAGAAGACAGACAAGAGAAUAGAGUCAAUGGACGAAAAGAAAAGAAAACAGGGAGACCAACUUGGCCAAAGAUGCAGAGAGGAAGACAAACAGAACCAGCAGGAAAAGAAAAGCCCCACGUCACAAGGACCUCCACAUUCAGAUCAAUGCAGGCAUGUGUGUGAUAGACCCAAAAACCAAAUAGAAACCCUCAAAUCGCCUAAUUCCCAGAACAGGCAAAUUUUUGCCAAGUUCAUGAUUUGGCAGAGUUCUUGCAUAUUCCAUACAAUUUCAAUGAGAAGCUGUAUCCAUCUUGUUCUAAGAGCAGAUUGUCAUUUUCCACUUGAAAUACACACGUUGCACUGA